GAAUUUUGUAUCUCUUAAGUACUGUGAGUGCUUCGGAAUACGAAUGUUCGGUUAUUCUUGGAGUUGGCGUAUGUAUGAUGUUAAGGUGGAAGGUAUGAUCAAAAUGACGCUCAGUGAUGAAGUUCAAAUGUUCUCGAAAACAAAAAAAAAACGUAAAGAAACCCUUUGUUUUUUAAAAAUUUCGCACUGACGAUAUCAAAAGGAUGAUCCCCUUGUUCAUUACGAAAAUCAGCAGUUUGUAUAGAGUAAACGAAGUUUGGUAAGAAGAUUUGCAAAUAUUCACAGAUAUCAUGAGAUUCCAGUAUAAUAAGAAAAAUUUGAUAUUAAAAAAUCCAAAAGUCCAAAUACUACCACUGCUGCAAUUAAGAAUAUCGCUUAGUGGAAAGAUAGAAAUAAAAUUAUGAA
Non-coding RNA from Schizosaccharomyces pombe (fission yeast), 405 nucleotides. The record is from the annotation of a GenBank genome assembly. Lineage: Eukaryota; Fungi; Ascomycota; Schizosaccharomycetes; Schizosaccharomycetales; Schizosaccharomycetaceae.